GGGCUUGAACCUGCCAUCCUCCUGCCUCAGCCUCCCAGAGUGCUCCGAUGACAGGCGUGGAUUCAGAGUUACAAAGCUCACACUAAGAUAGGGCGCUAUGGUUUGGAUGGAGACUCUCCGUGGCUUUGGGCUGUCCUCAGGGUUGACACGGAAGCCCAGUCCCGCUCCACCCCGGGGCCGUGUGGGGGCCGUGUGAGGAUGUGACAUCUGCUCCCCCCCUCCCGCCUUGCUACUUCCUGGAGGACAAAGGUCUCCGGGAGAAAGGGCAGUGUCCAGGCGAGAGUCUGGCCCGGAGCCUGGUUUACACCUUGCUGCGUCUCAGGUGUGAGAGUAGCCAGUGACCAUCAAGCAAGCAAAGCAAAGAAGACUAAUUUCAUGAAGAAAAACAAACCUGUGGUUUACAGGAAGGGAAGGAUACGAUGGUUCAGUUCAAGCAACUUGGAAUCGUUAGCUACAAAAUGUAAAAUGCAAGACAAGUGUCAAAGCAGGACACCGGCAAUGUUUCAAUGGUCUUAGCAUUUCCAACACACCGCAUCAACUGUUACGGGCUGCGCGUCUUCAGUUGCUCCCGAAAUAGCCUUGCGAAUGAAACUCUCAUCAGCUGACCAUUCUUCUGCACGACUUACUGUCCAUGAAUCACGCCAGUGUCUGUAACUCUUCCGGGCCAAGUCAUGAUGGUCCUUUCGUAUUUCAAGACUUAUGACGCGUCCUUGGGAUCCAGCCGCUUCGGACACACGGGAGCUCAUUGCCCCGGAGCGGUCCCUGUUUUCAUCAGUGAUAGUCUUCCAACGCUGGCCUCUGCAGCAUGAUGCGCUUGCCAAGGGAACUCGUCGGGACCUGGCCGGGGGACGCGCCCAUGAUCUCGCUGGACGGGACUAACCCCCAAAUACUAUUUAAGUGUCUGAUGUUGCACAAUGCUACCGACCGUAGGGCAGCAAACACGGGAUUUCACGAGGAGAUACAGGUUCUCUGAAAGGU
Molecule: long non-coding RNA, 978 nt
Organism: Fukomys damarensis (Damara mole-rat)
Lineage: Eukaryota; Metazoa; Chordata; Mammalia; Rodentia; Bathyergidae
Exons: 3
Source: RefSeq, a predicted model, not a curated record